UCUGGUGAUUAUUCCGGAGGGGUUCCACCCGUUUCCAUCUCGAACACGGAAGUUAAGACCUCCAGGGCUGAUGAUACUUGGACCGCAGGGUCCUGGGAAAGUAAGUCGUUGCCAGAU
Desulfitobacterium dichloroeliminans LMG P-21439 is the source of this 117-nucleotide ribosomal RNA. The record is from Rfam. Lineage: Bacteria; Bacillati; Bacillota; Clostridia; Eubacteriales; Desulfitobacteriaceae.